AAAAAAAUAAAAAUCCUUCUCAGGAUUGAGCCCUUUAUGCCAAAAUACACUGAAGUAUUAGUGGGAAAAUACCAUGAUGUCUUUCCCAGUUUACUCUCGCCGUUCGGAGAAAGCAUGUGUGUGUGGAGACGCAGAGAGAGAUCAAAUGAUAAGGCCGGUGAGGCAAAAUGUUAAUAAUGGAAGAGUCUGGGUAACAAGUCACGGGUGUGAGGCUGUGAGGACAUAGUGUUUGUGUUCUUCUUCUUCUGUUUUUGUUUGUUUGUUUGUUUGUUUUAAGUAGGCUCCAGGCCCAAUGUGGGGCUUGAACUCAACACCCUGAGAUCAAGGGUCACACUCUCUGCCAACGGAGCCAGCCAGGAACCCUAGAGUAGUCUUGUUCUUACAACUCUUGCGGGGCCCUCUAGCCACCAAGGCAUACACCUUUCUUGGAACGCAAAAGGAGGUUCUUCGAAAAACGAAGGCGCCGCUAACAGAACUGGGCCGAGGAGAUCAUCUGCGGUGGCGGGCUGGCCACUUGCUCCGAGAGUACAGGAUUUAUGGUUCUGGCGUGCCAGGAGGAAACGCCUCGUUGCCAGAUGGAAUUCAGACCCGGGAGUGCGUUUGCUUCCCAGGGCCAGAGACAAGGACCGGGCAGGAUCAGGAAGAGGACAAUUUCUCCAUCGAGUUGUGAAAGGGGGAAACGGAGAAUGAGCCAAGUUGGAGGUCAAGGACCAAGCCUGGAGAUACGAUCAGAGGCCAAGAGGAAAAGGAAACACAGGCGUGAUAAGUGCUAGUCACAAGGUGAGCAAGACAGAGAGAGAGAGAGAGAGAGAGAGAGAGAGAGAGAGAGAGAGACAAAAGAUGUGUCCUCUGGCCUCGCGGAGUUUCCAGUCCAGAGAAGACAGCAGGCAUUCGUCAGAACCAAACUCACACGGUCCUAAAGGCAGAGUCAUCUCUGAGCCCCAGCCUCUGUCCUGGAGGAAGUCAGCUGAAGAGGGAGGACAGACAGAGAGCCCAUCGAUUAAGCGGUGAUGUGAUGGGUCCUGUACGGGGUGGCCGGACCUCCGAGGGAUGGCGGGGCAGGGGGCCCCCACUGGACAGUUUCUGAGAGGAGCCGCCCGGUGCAGGCGUGGAGAGGAGGAGCAGGGAGGACUCCCGGGAGAGCUGGAGCAUAAGCUAACGGGCCUUGGAGCAGCCGUGGGGAGGCGAGCAGGGACGGUCUGCAGAAAGAUUCACAAGUGAACCCGCGGGGCUCAAGGCCUGGGUGACCGGGAGGAGGCUGUGGGUGCUGGUCAGGGGCGAGGACCCUGAAGGAAGCAGGAGGACAAAGAGUGUGGUCCCCCACCCGCCCCCUACCCGGGACCAGGCCCCGCCCCAGCCUGCUGGAUGUGGAUCUGGAUUUCACGGAGAUUCCCAGUGCUUGCGGGGCACGUGGCCACCGGAGAUGCGCCGGCAGCGUGGACCCUAGCAGAUACGAGCACGGCUCAAGGAGCUCGUGCUCUGUCCCCACAGGGAGCAGGGGACAGGCCAGUGGCCGUGGCGCCGGGCAGCAGUGGCGCGGGAGCGUCCUGGCAGAUGCGGGGGAGGUGGGGGGCUCCGGAGGCGCGGGG
Long non-coding RNA from Prionailurus viverrinus (fishing cat), 1589 nucleotides. RefSeq lists it as uncharacterized. The transcript is spliced from 4 exons. The record is from RefSeq and is a predicted model, not a curated record. Lineage: Eukaryota; Metazoa; Chordata; Mammalia; Carnivora; Felidae.